This 253-nucleotide ribosomal RNA is filed under the name uncultured bacterium. Its description in RNAcentral is "partial 16S ribosomal RNA". It matches the Rfam family "Bacterial small subunit ribosomal RNA", at positions 524 to 776 of the family's 1533-position model. The record is from RNAcentral.
UACGUAGGGUGCGAGCGUUGUCCGGAAUUAUUGGGCGUAAAGAGCUUGUAGGCGGUCUGUCGCGUCUGCUGUGAAAAUCCGGGGCUCAACCCCGGACUUGCAGUGGGUACGGGCAGACUAGAGUGUGGUAGGGGAGACUGGAAUUCCUGGUGUAGCGGUGAAAUGCGCAGAUAUCAGGAGGAACACCGAUGGCGAAGGCAGGUCUCUGGGCCACUACUGACGCUGAGAAGUGAAAGCAUGGGGAGCGAACAGG